GACGAACGCUGGCGGCGUGCUUAACACAUGCAAGUCGAACGGAAAGGCCCUGCUUUUGUGGGGUGCUCGAGUGGCGAACGGGUGAGUAACACGUGAGUAACCUGCCCUUGACUUUGGGAUAACUUCAGGAAACUGGGGCUAAUACCGGAUAGGAGCUCCUGCUGCAUGGUGGGGGUUGGAAAGUUUCGGCGGUUGGGGAUGGACUCGCGGCUUAUCAGCUUGUUGGUGGGGUGGUGGCUUACCAAGGCUUUGACGGGUAGCCGGCCUGAGAGGGUGACCGGCAACAUUGGGACUGAGAUACGGCCCAGACUCCUACGGGAGGCAGCAGUGGGGAAUAUUGCACAAUGGGCGGAAGCCUGAUGCAGCAACGCCGCGUGCGGGAUGACGGCCUUCGGGUUGUAAACCGCUUUCGCCUGUGACGAAGCGUGAGUGACGGUAAUGGGUAAAGAAGCACCGGCUAACUACGUG
Molecule: ribosomal RNA, 468 nt
Filed under: uncultured bacterium
Lineage: Bacteria
Description: partial 16S ribosomal RNA
Rfam family: Bacterial small subunit ribosomal RNA
Source: RNAcentral